UGAAAUCCUGAUUACAACAUUUGCUGCAGGACUUGUCACUUCAGCUAUUGGUUUGUUCCAUACUUUUUCAUGGCCAAGAAGCUUCAAUAGAACGUGGAAUUACAACACUUUCUAGUAGUGGACUGUUUCUCUUGAUGUCCUUCCCGAUAUGGCUCCAAACUCAUAUCCAGUGCCUAACUCGUCUGACUGGAGACUGUCGAAAAGUAAUGGUGUCCGUACCUAAAGUAAUGUUUCUCCAAUCUCGUCGUCCAUAUUUCUGGGGUAGGUUGCUUCUAGCAUCAGAUAAAUAUGGAGAGGUGAUUGGAGAAAUAUUUUUAGGUGUUAUGUUCUAAUGAGCAUUUGCUACAGGACUUGUCACUUCAGCAAUUGGCAUGCCCCAUACUUGUUUUGAUGGAACAUGGCAUUACAAUACUUUCUAGUGGUGGACUGUUUCUCUUCCUGUCCUUCCGGAUAUGGCUCCAAACUCCAAUCCAAGACUGUGGAACAGUAAUUACGUCCAUAUCUAAAGUAAUAUUUCUCCAAUCACCUUUGCCAUAUUUCUCGGAUAGGUUCCUUCUUGUAGCAUCAGAGAAAUAUGGAGAGGUGAUUGGAGAAAUAUUUUUAGGUGUUAUGUGCUGAUGAGCUAAUGCUAACCGGUGAUUGGAGAAAUAUUUUUAGGUGUUGUGUGCUGCUGAGCUAAUGCUAACAAUUGGUAUGUCCAUACCUGUUCAUGGCCAAGUUGCUUCUAUAUGUCGUGCAAUUGCCACACUUUUUAGUUGUAGAUUAUUUCUUUACGCAUCCUUCCGGUUCACCGUGGUUGCUGCAAAGAAGACCGUAAGUGUCUCUUCUUUAUCAAUAUUUGUGUAGGAAUCGGAUCAUGAAAAUGCGUGUCAUUUGUUUGUGGUAAAUGUUAAACAAGGGCUUGUUGUUGUGAAUUUUGCAGAAGAAGACUCAUGAUGGCAUUAACAAUAGGCUUACUCUCUUGUUAUGUAAAGCGGCAUAUAUACAUUGGGAUACAAAACUGUUCUCAAGACCAUUAGAAUCUCCAAAGGUAUGUAUAGUGAACUCAAUCACUCUUCAGUUUUUUCAAUUUUAACCAAUCAGAUCUUAGUUUUUGAUAUUUAGUUAAACCAAUUAAACAAUAGGCAAACGUUGUAAUCACUGUCUCAAGAAGCUAACCACAUACUUCUUACCUAGACUGUUCAAAUUGAGCAGUCGCUAUGACUGGUAGCAGCCUUCAUAAAUAAUUAAGGGGAAAUCUGGAAUGUGUGUCUACAUCAAUGCUGGCUAGUUUAAUAGCGACGUUAAUUAGAAAUUGGUGCUUGUAUCAUCAAUUUCAAUUGAAGGACCACCGUAAUCUAAUCUCUACCAUUCUUUGGGGCGGUGCGAGUACCAGGUUUAUCAGUCAUAUCGUCUUAUCAGAUUGCUUUCGCUUUUGUGCCUAUCAGAUUUGAUCAACUGAAAUCCUGAUUAUCCUCUCUUUCUUUUCAGUCUUUGCCCGUUACCGUUGAUGUGGGUACAAACAAUACGAAUUUGUUGAACGAUGAAUUUUACAUUGGGCUAAGGCAAAGAAGAGCUACAGGACAGGUUCACAGAUUUUUAUGCCUGAUCAUGCUUACUUUAUCAUACUUUUUGUAGAGGAUGUAAUAUUUCCUUAAUGUACUUUGUUUGAUCCUGUUUUCCGUGUUCAGGAAUAUGCUGAACUUUUAGAUGAAUUUAUGUACGCCGUCAAGCAGAAUUAUGGGGAGAAAUUGCUCAUUGAGGUUGCUUCUUCAAGCGUCCGAGAAUUAUAGAAGAGGUGAUUGGAGAAAUAUUUUUAGGUGUUAUGUGAUAAUGAGCUUUUGCUGCAGGACUUGUAACUUCAGCAAUUUGUAUGGCCCAUACUUGUUCAUGGCCAAGUAACUUCGAUAGAACGUGGAAUUACAACACUUUCUAGUGGUGGACUGUUUCUCUUCCCGUCCUUCCGGAUACGGCUCCAAACUCAUAUCCAGUGCCUAACUCGUCUGACUGGAGACUGUCGAAAAGUAACGGCGUCCAUGCCUAAAGUAAUAUUUCUCCAAUCUCCCCGUCCAAAUUUCUCGGGUAGGUUGCUUCUUCUAGCAUCAGAGAAAUUUGGAGAGGUGAUUGGAGAAAUAUUUUUAGGUGUUAUGUGCUGAUGAGCUAAUGCUAACAAUUGGUAUGACCAUACUUGUUCAUGGAGAAAUUGCUUCUAUAUGUCGUGCAAUUGCCGCACUUUUUCAUUGUAGAGUAUUUCUUCUUGCAUCCUUCCGGUCCACCGUGGUUGCUUCAAAGAAGACCGUAAGUAUCUCUUCUUUAUCACUAUUUGUGUAGGAAUCGGAUCAUGAAAAUGCGUGUCGUUUGUUUGUGGUACAUGUUAAACAAGGGCUUAUUGUUGUGAAUUUUGCAGAAGAAGACUCAUGAUGGCAUUAACAAUAGGCUCACGCUCUUGUUAGGUGAAGCAGCAAUUAUACAUUGGGAUACAAAACUCUUCUCAAGACCAUUAGAAGCUCCAAAGUCUUUUUCCGUUAGCGUUUAUGUGGGUACAAAUAAUAAGAAUUUGUUGAACGAUGAAUUUUACAUUGGGCUAAGGCAAAGAAUAGCUUCAGGACAGGUUCAGCGAUUUUUACUCCUGAUCAUGCUUACUUUAUCAUACUUUUUUAUAGAGGAUGUAAUAUUUCUUUAAUGUACUUUGUUUGAUCCUGUUUUCCGUGUUCAGGAAUAUGCCGAAAUUUUAGAUGAAUUUAUGUAUGCCGUCAUGUAGAAUUAUGGGGAGAAAGUGCUCAUUCAGGUAGAUGUUUUCUGGCAAAAAUUGCAGAUAAGUGUAUUUGAGAAUCUACUCUCUUAAUAGGAUCGGUUACAUGAAAAUAUAUCUAAGUAUAGAUAAUCUGGGGAUUCAAAACAAGUUUAUAUGUAGUGAGUUGCGAGGGAAAACCCGAUAUCUGUCACUGGGCUUACUAUUAACUAUGGAUUUAACUGUCUGCUUGAGAUGUAAUAGUUCAGGUGGUGAUGCAGAUCUCUAGAUUAGCUUAUGUUCUGAUGCAUAUCUGUUGUGCUGCGUGGUUUCUCUUGCCUGUUAUGGUUUCUUAUGGUGUGAUCUUGUUGAUUCAUGCUUUUAGUCCUGAAGAGAACUAUAUUUUGUGGUGAAACACCUCCUAGUGAAUUUGGAGGUCAUCACAUUGGUAGAGUGCUUUCAUUUUGUUGGCACAGUUACAGUUCUUAUGCUUAAUAUGUUUAACAUUGUUUCAGACAAUGUAGAUUUGGGGACUGCUUGUGGUAAAUACUUCAAAGUCUGUUGCCUCAGUAUUAUUGACCCAGGUGAUUCUAAUAUUAUUAAUAGCCUGGUGACCAGUGAGGCUGUGUUGGAUUGGAUGCAAUUCUGGAUCCUCCACUCAAAAGUUGCCAAUUGUUAUCAUGAAAAGUAGCUACUACAGAUGAGUUUGGAGCCUGUUGAAAAGUAAUGGCAUCCAUACCUAAAGUAAUAUUCCUCCAAUCUCCUCGUCCAUAUUUCUCGGGUAGGUUUCUUCUUCUGGCAUCAGAAAAAUAUGGAGAGGUGAUUGGAGAAAUAUUUUUAGGUGUUAUGUGCUAAUGAGCAUUUGCUACAGGACUUGUCGCUUCAGCAAUUGGUAUGUCCGAUACUUGUCAUGGCCAAGUAGCUUCGACAGAACGUGGAAUUACAACACUUGCUAGUGCUGGACUGUUGCUCUUCCUGUCUUUCCGGACAUGGCUCCAAACUCAUAUCCAGUGCCUAAUUCCUAUGAUCGGAGACUGUUGAAAAGUAAUGGCGCCCAUACCUAAAGUAAUAUUUCUCCAAUAUCCUCGCCCAUAUUUCUCGGGUAGGUUGCUUCUUCUAGCAUCAGAGAAAUAUGGAGAGGUGAUUGGAGAAAUAUUUUUAGGUGUUAUGUGCUAAUAAGCUAAUGCUAACAAUUGGUAUGUCCAUACCUAUUCAUGGCCAAGUAGCUUCGAUAUGUCAUGCAAUUGCAACGAUUUUUAGUUGUACAGUAUUUCUCUUCGUAUUCUUCCGGAUAUGACUCCAAACUCAUAUGAGAUGUCGUUUCCUCACACCGGAAUCCACCAUGGUUGCUGCACAGAAGACCGGAAGUACUCAUGAAAGCAUUAACAAUAGGCUCACUUUUGUUAUGAAGAGGGGCAAAUACACAUUGGGAUGCAAAACUCUUCUCAAGACCAUUAGAAGCUCCAAAGCAAAACUUGCUACUAUUGCCAACAAUUGUCCUCCUAUCAGGAAGUCCGAGAUAAGAGUACAAUGCUAUGUUUGCAGAGGUUGGAGUUCUCCACUACAACGGAAGUGUGUCCAUGUCAUUCAUUACAUUCGUUUAGAUAUCUAUAUAUCUCUUUAUGCUCACAAAGUCACAAUGUGUCCUUGGCGUUCUUUUGAUAUGGUUUUCAACACAUGGCUUUCAAGAAGUGAUUUUCUUUCUUUUG
This is an RNA transcript of Lycium ferocissimum, 4419 nucleotides long. It is a transcript of the gene named large ribosomal subunit protein eL30-like, with no coding region annotated. The transcript has 8 exons. The record is from RefSeq and is a predicted model, not a curated record. NCBI's taxonomy places the organism in Eukaryota, Viridiplantae, Streptophyta, Magnoliopsida, Solanales, Solanaceae.